AGAAAUUACUGCCGUAGUGCAAAUCCCUAGCCGCAGCCCGCAGCCGUCGCUCUGUUCCCCAUCUCCCUUCGCCUUCUCGCGCCCGCUCCGCCGCUGCCGCCGCCACCGGAGCCUCUCCUCUCCUGGAGGUCGCAUAUGGACCCCUCCAUACCGUCGAGCUCGCCGUCGCGGAUCCUCGUCGAACUUCGACCUGCCCUGUCCUUCGUCGACGGCAUCCCCCUCUCCUCCCCAUCUUUUCCAGCGACGUCCUCAUGCGGAUUCGCCUCCUCCCCGAUGAUCUCUCUUUGCCAGAGGCUCGGAGGCGCCGACAUCCUUCCUCGCCUACCCAACGCCGGCCGGGGAUGACCGUCGGCUGCCUCCUCCUCCUCCCCUCGCAGCAGCUACCCCUCUCUUUCUCUCCCCCAGAUCUGAUCUGGACCCCGCUUUCAAUUGUACAGCCAUAUCAUCAAUCAAUACGCACCACUUUUUGGUUCAUUUUGUAUGUGCGUGCGUGGUCAGAGUUUUUAUUAUAUAUAUGCACCAUUCUUUGCUGAAUAUAUGCACCAUUCUUUUAGUUCUACCAAACUGAAAUGAAAUCUUACCCUCUUUGUGGAUGAUGCGCCUAUUUAUUAUACUCGCGCUGGCUGCCCUCUUUAGAUUAGAAGAGGAUUCUGAUGCUCAAACGCAGCACCAACCAGAUCGAUAAGGCAUUACCUUAUCAAGUUCGAAAACAACCAUUAGGAAUAGCAGAUUCUUAAGCUUUCCCAACUUCGCGAGUUUCUGAAAAUGUGAUGUACACUUUGGUUGAUUUCAAGGAUAGAAUUGCAGUUUGCUUACUCAAGAGCUAUUAUAGGCUGCGGCGCCAUUUGUGCAUUGUCACACAACAGUCCAGUCCAGAGAUGAAUUUUGAAUGAGUGGAAAACUUAGUAGUAGGUUCGUUUUGUUAGUUCUCCACAGUCCAAUUGCCCUCGUUGGUCGUAUUAUUUGUUUAUGUUGGCACAAGUAUUGGCGAGUUUGUUGCACAUUCUGUACAAUUAAAUACUGAAUAUGAUGCAGGCGCACGACAUCGACGAUCAGGACGACGAGGCAGAGAAGUACGAGGACCGAGACAUGCAGGACCCCAUGCCCGAGCUUGACAGGACAUUGUCGAGUCCAGCCCGACCAUGGUGACGCCCUGUUGGUCCCUGCUCCCUAUCAGCAAUGGCUCCCUGCAGCAGGGCCUGCUAUUGAUCCUUUUGCUCAAAGAAGGGAAGAGAAGAAGAGCAGGGUCAAUAAUACACACAAUUUUCUGGUUCAUUUUGUAUGUGCGUGGUCGAGUUUUGAUUAAAACUGGAGCGUUUUUUAUUAUUUCUAUGAUGAUGAUGAAUAUAUGCACCAUUCUUUUUUGGUUCUACUACCAAACUGAAAUGAGAUCUUACCCUUCCUGUU
Molecule: long non-coding RNA, 1407 nt
Organism: Triticum dicoccoides
Lineage: Eukaryota; Viridiplantae; Streptophyta; Magnoliopsida; Poales; Poaceae
Exons: 2
Source: RefSeq, a predicted model, not a curated record